UGCGGGGAGUUUGAAUCCCAAUGCCCCUGUUCGAGCUUGGAUUGGUUGGAGGAUGUUGCUAGCGAAUGCGGACCGCGAUGUUCUUGCGGGCUGGAGUGUGAUAAUCGGGUGACCCAGAGAGGAAUUUCUGUUCGAUUGAAGAUUAUGAGAGAUGAGAAGAAAGGAUGGGGUUUGUACGCGGAUGAGUUGAUUCAAGAAGGGGCGUUCGUUUGUGAGUAUGCAGG
RNAcentral lists this unclassified non-coding RNA (224 nucleotides) under Hevea brasiliensis (rubber tree). Lineage: Eukaryota; Viridiplantae; Streptophyta; Magnoliopsida; Malpighiales; Euphorbiaceae. The record is from RNAcentral.